This 1340-nucleotide ribosomal RNA is filed under the name Triticum aestivum (bread wheat). RNAcentral describes it as "partial small subunit ribosomal RNA". The record is from RNAcentral. Lineage: Eukaryota; Viridiplantae; Streptophyta; Magnoliopsida; Poales; Poaceae.
GCUCUUCUACGAAGCGCAGGGCUGACUCGUGGUUAACCAAGCCGUUUGAGACAAAGCUAUGCCGGAGCGGUAAAGCAGCCUGUGCACCAUCAUGCACCGUGGCCGGGAAGGCGUUACCGGAGGAAGGAGCGGCGGGCGGCGGAGGAGAGGUGGCGGCGGCGGGCCGCGGAGGAGGGUACGUGAAGGGGCGGCGGAGGACGGUGGCGACGAGAGACGACCGACAGGUGACUGCGGAGCGGGGGUGGCGGAGAAGGGCGGGGGGGAGACCUCGGGCGCCAGCUGGGAGGGUUCUUCCUACCUCGGAGGAAGAGGCGGCCAAGGCCGCGACCUCCCCGGAUGGCCUGACCUUUCCCUCGACGUAGCCCCCCAGCGGCUAGACCACCGCGCCCCAUGCUCCUCCUCGUCGUCUUCCAGGAGGCGCGCAGCGAAGAGGUGCACGGCUCCUACCCUACCUCGCUCAGCCGGUACUAGCGCCCACGCUCCCUGCACAGGCACAGCGGCCGGUAGCAGCCACGGAAGGGUUCCUUCCUCCGACGCGAUCAACUCAAAAAGUACCUACUGACGGAAGUUGUUGAGUACCUAGCGCAACUACGACCACUCCCUCUCGAAAACUUUUUGAACUACGAGUGACUCUCUGAUAGAUCUGAACAAGCCUACUCCGAACUCUACGUCUGUGGAAUGUAUAGUUUCACCGGAGUUCGCGACUCGUAAGUCAGGGUUGGUCGUUUACAGAGUUGUUCGAAUUUCGUCUCUCGUCAGGAACAACUACUCUAAACCGUACGACGACCUCUAAGACCUAGUCUAUAACUAACCAUACACUUUGCAUGACACGAACCACCGUAGAUGAGUCGGAGUCUCCACAUGUACAAUUGUCUAUUAAGAGGUCUCAAAGUGCUGUGUACCUGUAAACACUUAGCGGCGUAGUUUCUACGAGAACUAAACGUCUUUAGAAUAUUCCUCCAGCGAAUAGAUUGACUUUGGGACCCUCGUCCCUAGCCACCGAGGUAUGUCCCGCAGGACUUGUUCCAAAAGGUCUUUACUUCUUUGAACGGAAACGUCCGACGGAAGAGCUGUAAAGGUGGUGGUGAAUACAGUGCAAUUCUAAUAUACUGGAACAACCGCUUUUUAGACAAAUGCGAUGUCUGAGAUCAGGUACACACCUGGCUCAACGGCGUUUGUCUUGUUUCUGUGAGCGCCGAAACGUACCUGUGCUGAACUGUAAACUUUGAAAUAUAUUCCCAACUCGCGAGCAACCACAAUAACACAAAUUCUACAUAAAAAAAAUUCCCAGUUUGGAAAAACUAAACUGUUUUAAAUCUCUUUAUAUAGUUAAAGGUGUU